GAAAAUGGAGAAGCAGCAAAGUGAAGUUGUGUUGUAUGGGACAUGGGCUAGUGCCUACUGCACGAGGGUGCGGUUGGCCCUUAAACUCAAGGGCAUAACCUAUGAGUACGUGGAGGAGGAUCUAACCAACAAAAGCGAGUCCCUACUUCACUACAACCCUGUCCACAAGAAGGUGCCUGUUUUGGUGCACAAAGGGAAGCCCGUGGCUGAAUCGCUUGUCAUUCUCGAGUAUAUUGACGAUUGCUGGAACAAUUCCCCCAAACUAUUGCCCGAGGAUCCUUACCAAAGAGCCAAAGUUCGUUUUUGGGCCAAUUUUUAUGAUCAGAAGAUCUUCCCAAGCUCACACGCUGUCGCCUUGUCCAAGGGCAAAGAGCAAGUGAACGCCAUUAAAGAGUUCGAUGAGUUGCUUGGCGCGUUUGAAAAAGGCAUCGAGAAAGAUUUCUCAAUAAAAUUUCCUUUCAACGGUGAGACCUUGGGAUUUCUUGAUAUCGUUGUUGGCACACAUGCUUGCAAUUAUCGAGCUUUUGAAGAGGCUGUGACUGUGGUUUUUGACCCAAAAAAGCAUCCAGCUUUUCUAUGGUGGGUGGCUAAGCUGAAGGACAGCCCUUUGAUUAAGGAAACUCUCCCUCCACAUGACAAGCUGGUUGCCAAAAUCAAAGAGGUGUUUUUCCAGGCUCCAAAGGCUUAAUCACUAGGAAUAUAGCAAAUAUACGAAUAAAUCUACCGUUCAGUGUACGUGUACUUUGAAAUAAACAUCUACAGAGAUCCUAUGUGAGUUAACGUC
Molecule: unclassified non-coding RNA, 784 nt
Filed under: Hevea brasiliensis (rubber tree)
Lineage: Eukaryota; Viridiplantae; Streptophyta; Magnoliopsida; Malpighiales; Euphorbiaceae
Source: RNAcentral